This 369-nucleotide ribosomal RNA is filed under the name uncultured bacterium. RNAcentral's name for it is "bacterial SSU rRNA". It matches the Rfam family "Bacterial small subunit ribosomal RNA", at positions 527 to 896 of the family's 1533-position model. The record is from RNAcentral.
GAACUGUGCGAACGUUAUUCGGAAUCACUGGGCUUAAAGGGUGCGUAGGCGGUCCGCCAAGUCCGGUGUGAAAUCCCCCGGCUCAACCGGGGAAUAGCGCUGGAAACUAGCGGGCUGGAGCGAGGCAGGGGUGUGUGGAACUUCCGGUGGAGCGGUGAAAUGUGUAGAUAUCGGAAGGAACGCCGGUGGCGAAAGCGGCACACUGGGCCUUGUCUGACGCUGAGGCACGAAAGCUAGGGGAGUGAACGGGAUUAGAUACCCCGGUAAUCCUAGCCGUAAACACUGAGCACUGGAGGGGAGGGGUUUCGGCCUUUUCCCUCGCAGCGAAAGCGUUAAGUGCUCCGCCUGGGGAGUAUGGUCGCAAGGCUG